This is a long non-coding RNA of Bos indicus x Bos taurus (hybrid cattle), 2074 nucleotides long. Lineage: Eukaryota; Metazoa; Chordata; Mammalia; Artiodactyla; Bovidae. The record is from Ensembl.
UUUAAAUUUCCAGUUUUGCCCUUCCUCAAGAAUAUAUGGUUUUACAGCUGUGGAUCUCAAGCCAAGUGGUGAAGAUGAGAUGAUAACAAUGGAUAAUGCAGAAGAAUAUGUGGAUUUGAUGUUUGACUUUUGCAUGCAUACGGGUAUUCAGAAACAGAUGGAAGCCUUCAGAGGUAAUUUUAAGGCUCUUUAGCUUAAUCCCUCUCCUUUUACUUUGAGACACCGAAAUUAAGAUACUGCUAUGCUCAAAAUUAGACUAUGCUAGUAAUCUCUAGAUUUGUCAUCUAGUUUUUUUGUCUUCCCAACAGUUAGGUCAGGUCCUACAGGGUACCCUGAACAGAUUGAACCAUUUUCAAGCUGUAGCAUACCCUAAGCUGCUCUUCCUCAGUAAUGAGGGACCUACUUUGGCUUUUGUUUUUUCAUUUGUAAGUGGAUAUAAGGUUGCAUACAGGAUCAGGAUGAAUUAAACCAUAUUAGAACCUAAGUCUUAAGGUAAAGAGUGAAGCAAAAUAUAUUGAACUGUUUAUCACUUACUAGUUUUUUAAAAUGAGAACUUGCUUUGGCUGGCUUGUAUGACAUAAAGAACUGGUUGGGAAAUUAUUGGAAUUUGGCUACAGACCAUAGUGUCUGAAUAUUCUCUCUACAUAUACAUCUGUGAUACUAAGCAAAGAUUUCUGUAUUUAAAACCCUAGCAAGUUUUUAUUUCAAGCUACUUUAAUUUUAUUGGCUUUUUCAAAUAUUUAUAUUUGUCUUCUGUCCAUUUAGUUGAGUAUUUUGAUUUGAAAUUUGUGGUUUGAAAUUGUAACUUGGAAACACAAACUCAGUUGUGUUUUGUUUUUGUUUUUUUUGCUGUGUGUAAAAUGUAGAUGGGUUAAUAAAGUUUUUCCAAUGGAGAAAUUAAGUUCCUUCAGCCAUGAAGAGGUCCAAAUGAUUCUUUGUGGAAAUCAGUCACCAUCCUGGGCAGCAGAGGAUAUAUUAAUUAUACUGAACCUAAGUUGGGUUAUACACGUGACAGUCCUGGCUUCCUUAGGUUCGUGCGGGUUUUAUGUGGUAUGUCUUCAGACGAGAGGAAAGCAUUUCUGCAGUUUACCACUGGUUGUUCAACUCUGCCUCCAGGGGGACUGGCUAACUUGCAUCCAGGCUCACAGUUGUACGCAAGGUACAAACUCUAGCUAUUGGGCAAUGUAAACCAAAUUUAGUUACCUAAGGGUUGAAAGAAAUGCAUAUUUAAAGUCAUGGUCUUCUAUUGUUUUCAAUUCUGUUUCUGUGCAGGUUGAUGCUACUGAUGCAAGCUACCCAUCAGUGAACACAUGUGUGCAUUAUCUCAAGUUGCCAGAAUACUCUUCGGAGGAGAUCAUGAGAGAGAGCGUCUGCUAGCUGCUACAAUGGAGAAAGGCUUCAUCUCAAUUGAGCUUUGAAGUGCAAUGGGAGACAUCAGAGACUUAAAAUUCUAGUGAAGCCUCUUGUGUUUGUUUGCAGAGAAGUAUAAUGAUCCUCCAUGCUAAUGACACUUGCCUUUUUUUCCACCAUUAAGGCUUUAAGAACACGUGGAGUAAGUUUGUUAGCUGCUAAUGACAAACAAAUCCUUUAAACUAUCCAGCCAGCAAGUACAUAGCACAGAACACUGUGUGCUACAAGGGCUCAUGUGACUGGAAUGAGGUGGUUCUACUUGACUGUUCCAAAGAGCAGCUUCUCAGAUCUUCAGUGUUCACUGGUAAAUUUCUAACAGUGUAUUUGUGUAAAGUUUGUCAUUUCAUACUUCAUACACUACAGUUGCCAUCACUGAUCCCUGUUUUGCUGGCUUUAAGCUACUUGUCAGAAAUCCUGCUUCCUUAAAACAUAGAGAGUUAAUGAGCAUCUCAAGCUUUUUCUUUCCUCUUUAAUGAUGCCUGCACUAUCAGAGUGUAUCUAGUGUUCUCUCUUUUGUUUGGCAUAUAAUCAUGCACAACCUUUUUAUUUCUUUGAGGUGGGAGUAUAUUUUUAUUUCCUAAAUGCCAUACUAUAAAGAUCAAAUUCUUAAGUGUGUUGUGCAGUUCAAAAAUAAAAGAUAUAUUAAGGGGGGGAGGAAAAAACA